GGACCCGCGCUCUCUGGAAGCACCGCCUCUCGCUCAGGUGCGGACCUCAGUCUGUAGGGGGAGCGCGCAGCCUGGCCCAAGCCCGGCUAAAAGCCACAAGGCGCUGAGUUUCGGGAUGUAGGAGUUUUGGAAAAUCAUCUUGCACUGGGCUCUGCCUUCAGGCAAACGUGUCAUUUUCAAAAGCGAAUUGGCCAACAGAAUAGUUAUUACCUGUCUCUAUACCACGGCCUGUGAAACUUCUCAGAGUUCAGGGAAGCAGCUCCCAGAGUAUCAUUCUCAUACUACGUGUCUGGAGUGGUCCUAAAGAUAAUUGGAUAUCAUAAGUCUCCUGGAAAAAGCAAUCAAGAUCUCUCCAAAGUUUUAGCAUCAGUUCCUUUCUUUCCUCUUCUUUUGCCCUGUGUACUCUUGAUAAUAAUCUGGUGUCACUCAUACUCAGGAUGCAACAUGCUCCUAGCUUGGCUUAAAACUGUAUUAUACACCUUCCUAUAUGCAAGUUUUAGAGGUGUGGCACCCUCUCGAUCUGGAAAAUCCGCAUAAAAUUUUGUGGCCUUUUCUUAGCAGUGAAUAAAUCUGAAUUAUUAUGGAAUUAAAAAGAUAAAA
Molecule: long non-coding RNA, 600 nt
Organism: Antechinus flavipes (yellow-footed antechinus)
Lineage: Eukaryota; Metazoa; Chordata; Mammalia; Dasyuromorphia; Dasyuridae
Exons: 3
Source: RefSeq, a predicted model, not a curated record